UACCACCUGCGCGAUGUCCGCGUACGGCGGCAGAACUUCUAUCUGGAUGCUGUUUAUACCCGCCUCGUCCUGGUAUCAGAUAAUCUCAAGAAUUGAAGCUGGGUCGGUGUUUUGUAGGUGUGUUAUAUGCAUGCAUAUGAAGCUAUUUUCUGCGCUGAUAGUCUUUAGUGACAUAAACAAUUAAAUUCAAGCAUUUCCUUUAGUCUCUUCGACGUCGUUA
Long non-coding RNA from Papilio xuthus (Asian swallowtail), 220 nucleotides. RefSeq lists it as uncharacterized. The record is from RefSeq and is a predicted model, not a curated record. The transcript is spliced from 2 exons. Lineage: Eukaryota; Metazoa; Arthropoda; Insecta; Lepidoptera; Papilionidae.